GUUACUAUUUAUUAAAUGAGUUAAAUACAAUCAAAUUAAUUAUGAGAAGAUGAAAAGGUAAAUCUAAAAAAAAAAUCUCUAUUUAUUAGAUAAUAGAGAAUAUACAAAGAAACAAAAUAGUGAUACCACAUCACCUCCUCAAGUCCUAACUUUUUAUAUAGAUAUGAAAAAUAUCUCUUCCGCGGAGGGGGAGGAUUCAUUGGAUUUGAUACGGGCUGACUUGGCCCAUUAGCAUUAGCAUUUGCUGCAUUGUAGGGUUCUAACUUUUUUGAUAGAUGUGAAAAAACUCUCUUCCGCAGUGGGCCGGUAUCCGGGCUGACUUGGCCCAUUAGCAUUGGCUGCAGCCGUUUGCUGAUUGGGAGCCUUGGUGGGUUCCAUCUUUUCGAAUAGAGGUGAAUAAACUUUCUUCGGCCUAGGGGGAGGGCUCCCCGGAUUUGAUCUGGGCUGACUUGGCCCAUUAUAUUAGCUGCAGUAUAGGGCUCACCGGAUUUGCUCAUGGAGUAUUGGGAUUAUAAAUGUGCCUCAACUUGGCCUUCCACUUAUUACGACGCCCAAUGCAAUGCAAACUUUAUUGAUAACUGAUUAGGAGAUGAUCUUCAUUACCCCGUUUUCGAACUUUAUAUCAAACAAGGAACCAUCCUUAAGGACGUCAACCUUCUGGAGCUCGUAACGAAGCGGGAACUAUAAACGAACAAAGUUCUGAAUUAAAAUUGUUUAUUGAUCAAGAGUUGUAGACAUUCUGAGGUUUCGCUCCUUUAAUACAUGGAAUGCAAAAUUACCAAAAGGGGCAAAACUAAACAUAAAAUAAAGUUCUCAUGUCUGAAAUAAUUGAAAAAAAAAAUGCGUGCAAUUAGAGAUAAUUUCCUAUCGAUCCGGAGGGCAAUAAGCUUUGAAAAGAAGUUAGCUCCGUCUUUCCAUAUGCUUCAAUAUUGUAUGUUAUAUGCACAAAAUGGAUACCUGUAGCUCAAAUAACAAUCUGGGAAGAUAAAGGUCAUGUUCUACGUCAACCCGAUUCCAGCAUCUUUGAUCUCUAUCGCAGAACAAACGAAGCUGCAGUCACUAUUCUUUAUACCACAUAUUAUUCUUAUACGCUUCAAUUCCUGCAGGGGAAGUGUUGAGACUGAUUUGGUGUAUAAGUACUAAACCAAUCGCCCUAAGACCUAAUCCUAGUUAAAGACUAAUUAAUGAACUUAAGAAUGAAAGUUUAAUCACACUUAAGGGAAAAUAAGGAUUAAGCCUUGUUGUCUGGAGAAACUAAGCAAAAUCCCCUUCAUGUUUUAAAAUAUAUGUAAACCACUCAUGUUAGUUAAAACGGUGUCAACUUUAUUUAUUAUUUUAUUAUCUUAUCCCUAGUCUUGAUGUUUAUCAUAAAAUUUGAAUGUUUUGAGAAUAUGAAUCAAGUAAAAUAACUUAUAUACCCUUAACGAAUAAAUUAAUUUAAUAACGAAUUGUAAGUUAUGGAGAAAUAUCAACUGAUUUGUAAAUGUAAGUUCUUUUUAUUUUUUUAUUUUUUAUAAUCAUUUAUAGUAUUAAAAUAUGAACUUUCCUAUUAAAAACUUAUUUGUGCCUGUUAUGUUUUUGAUAUAUCGGUUUUUGGGUAUUAAAAAUUUGAGCUUUUUAUUUGUUCUUUCUUUCUUUUUUUAAUUAUAAUAUCUGUGAAAGGUUGCUAAAUGAGGUCUGAUUUUGUUGGUAUAAUGAUUUGCAACAAAGAAAAUUAAAUUUAAAACUUCUCUUUAAAUUUAUUUUCUUUGAGGUAUUCUUGAAAUAAUGAUAGUAUUGUCUAUUAUUAUUGAGCUCAGAUGCCUAACGUCGAUGUUUUUGAUAAUUUUGAUGGGAAGAAAUUUGAUUUAGGGGCAUGAUAUGUUGAUUGUUUGAGUUAGGUUGCUAAUAUUUCUCCAUAAUUUUCAAUUCAUUGUUAGAUUAAUUUAAUUAUUAAGGGAAUAUAACAUCAAGACUAAAGUUAAAAUAGUAAAAUAGUACAUAAAGUUAAUAUCAUAUAACCACAGACCUAUUUUAAAAUAUGAGGAGAUUUCACUUAGUUUCCCCAAACAUAAUCUUCAUUUUUCUCACUUGUACAUGUCAACUAGACUUCAUAUUUUGUAUAAUAACUUUUGAUGAUACUUCGUUGAAGUUACUUGUAAGUAACUUUUGCUCAGUAGUGAAGUACUCUUGAUUUUCUAAUCUGCAGAUUGAUUACGCUCCUCUUUAUUUUUGAUGACGCACAAUAUUAACUAAUGAUACAAGAACCUCAUCUUCAAGUCUUUAAAGUAAAGCUUGGAGCUCCAAUAGAUUAAUCAUAAAUUCUUUUAAAACAAUUCUUAAUUUUUAUAGUACCCAUUUAUUAUAUAAAUUAAUAAUUAUCUAAUUUGAAAUUAAAUACCUAUGAUAUAAUUAUGUGAUUUUUGUAAAAGAUGUGCUCAGUUCGCUUAAAUCCCCAGUGAACCUUUUACGCCCAAACACGACAAUUUAUGUGAAUUAAGAAUUAUUCUGAGCUAGCAAGCAACUCAAGUUAUGUAUGAUACAAUAAUCAUGGCUACCACUACUCUUAAAUUGACAUUUCUAUCACUAUUACCACCACAAGUCUGCCUCCCUGUUGAAACAGAACUUGUUAUUUAUCAACUUCAACAGUUUAAAAUAAGCAGAAGAAGGUAGAAGCAGAAGAACCAGCAGGGAAAAAAGGAGAUGAAUAUACCUGUGCCUCAAGUUGGGCCAGAUAUUCAUUACCCACCUUUUUCAAUAGAGGGGAAACAAACCUCUCGGCUCAGGGCCUCCGUCCAGAGGGAGGGUUCCCUUGUGCUGGAUUGGAGCCGGGCUGACUUGGCCCAUUAGCAUUAGCUUUAUAGCUGCAGUCGUUUGGCUAUUGUUUUGCUGAUUUGGUGAGUGCGACUCUUGGUAGGGUUCCAGGUUUUUCAAAAGAUAUGAAAAAUAUCUCUUCCGCCGAGGGGGAGGAUUCAUUGGAUUUGAUCCUGGCUGACUUGGCCCAUUAGCAUUAGCAUUUGCUGCAUUGUAGGGUUCUAUCUUUUUUGAUAGAUGUGAAAAAACUCUCUUCCGCAGUGGGCCGGUAUCGGGGCUGACUUGGCCCAUUAGCAUUGGCAGCAGCCGUUUGCUGAUUUUGUGAUUGGGAGCCUUGGUGGGUUCCAUCUUUUCAAAUAGAGGUGAGUAAACUUUCUUCCGCCUAGGGGGAGGGCUCACCGGAUUUGAUCUGGGCUGACUUGGCCCAUUAUAUUAGCUGCAGUAUAGGGUUUCAUCUUUUUCCAAUAGAUAUGAAAAAACUCUCUUCCGCCAAGACGGGUUCACUAGAUCUGAUUCGGGCUGACUUGACCCAUUAGCAUUAACUGCAGUGUAGGGUUCCAUCUUUUCGAAUAAAUGUGAAAAAACUCGCUUCGCCGACAGGGUUCACUGGGUUGGAUCCGGGCUGAGUUGGCCCGUCAUCAUGAGCAUUAGCAGCAGCCGUUUGCUAAUUUUGUGAUUGGGACUCUUGGUAGGGUUCCAUCCUCUGUGAAUUUUUUUCAAGGGGCCAAGCUGUACGAUGUUUAGACAUGGGCGUACAAGUUUCAGAAACUUUUUCUUCAGUUUCAUCAAAUGGUAGUGCAGGAACAAGAUUGUAAUGUAUGUGUUAACUAGACUUCAUGUUUUGUACCAUGUACAUGGCUAAUAAAUUAAACAAGGCCCUUUCAUCAAGCUUAUAAAGGGAGUAAGCCGAAACUAAUACUUUGAUGGUGCGUCGUUGCAGUUGCUUGUUUGAAUGCAACUUUUGCUUGCAAGUCAUUUAUUCUUGAUUUUCUGAUCUGCAGAUUGAUUCUUCUUUUUGAUGAAACAUAAUGUUAACUAAUUAUAGAAGAAUUUCAUCUUAUUGAAAUUGUUAGACUUGACAUUAGAGACAUAAGUAACGCGUCCAAACUAUCCGCGAUGUGAUCACCAUUGCCAUGAGUAAUAUUCACAUAUUAUUUAACCUGCAUCUU
RNAcentral lists this long non-coding RNA (3962 nucleotides) under Citrus x clementina. Its description in RNAcentral is "Citrus clementina (C. clementina) long non-coding RNA (CCLE_LNC000244)". Lineage: Eukaryota; Viridiplantae; Streptophyta; Magnoliopsida; Sapindales; Rutaceae. The record is from RNAcentral.